Molecule: ribosomal RNA, 231 nt
Filed under: uncultured bacterium
Lineage: Bacteria
Description: partial 16S ribosomal RNA
Rfam family: Bacterial small subunit ribosomal RNA
Source: RNAcentral
AGCGUUGUCCGGAAUCAUUGGGAGUAAAGCGCGUGCCGGCGGCCCGAUAAGUCCGCUGUGAAAGUCCAGGGCUCAACCCUGGGAUGCCGGUGGAUACUGUCGGGCUCGAGUCCGGAAGAGGAGUGUGGAAUUCCUGGUGUAGCGGUGAAAUGCGUAGAUAUCAGGAGGUACACCAGCGGUGUAGACGGCUUUCUGGACCAUUGCUGACGCUGAGACACGAAAGCGUGGGUA